RNAcentral lists this long non-coding RNA (5704 nucleotides) under Lathyrus oleraceus (garden pea). RNAcentral describes it as "Pisum sativum (pea) long non-coding RNA (PSAT_LNC029600)". The record is from RNAcentral. Lineage: Eukaryota; Viridiplantae; Streptophyta; Magnoliopsida; Fabales; Fabaceae.
AUUUUCAUUGUCUUCUAUUUAUUCUAUUUUCUUUUUCUCUUUUUCAUUUUCUUGUAAUUAUUCUUUUUUCUUUUUUUCUUUUUCAUUUUCUACUUAUAAUUAGUAUUUUCGCAUAUUUUUUAAUCUGUAUAACUUAUGUUAAUCGUUUAAUUAUCAGAAUAUAGAAGAUGACAUUUUAUGUUCUUUAGGAUAUAAGUAUAUAUUUAAUUAAUUAUUGAUGUUCAAUACAUAUUUUUCUAAAUUAAUUAAUGUCAAGCUUUGUUACUCAUUAAAUGUUUGAAUGAUUUAUAUAAUUGAGGAUUUACAUAAUAUAAAUAUUUAGCUUGCAAUAUUUAAUAGAAAUCUCUGGUACAUAAUCACUUUAUGAUUGUAUAAACAAAAAACAAAGGGUAAAAAAAUACGUACUACUGAAAAAUUGUCAUAUUUUCCUUUUUUUUCUAUCUUUUAUGAGUAAUUUUCUUUCUUGUCUAUCAAAUGUACGGAACAAUUGAUUUCUGAUAUAGGUUAAUCUUUUGAAGGUUACACAUCUCUAACUUGGUUAUUUUGUCACUCAAUUCAUCUGUGUUUCCUCUUAUUUUAAAUUUUAUUCUUGCAUCACCAAUGAUUAUGAUAGGGUUUUUCGUAUUGUUUUGAUGAGAUUGAGAUGUUUGUUAGGAUUAUGAGGAUCUCACAAUAAUAAAGUUGGUGCUAAUGUAACACUAGAAAAAUGAUUGGGUUGGUUUCCUUUAAUACAUACGGUCUCAUUUUCAUUGUCUUGUAAUUAUUCUAUUUUCUUUUUUUCUUUUUCAUUUUCUUGUAAUUAUUCUUUUUUCUUUUUUUCUUUUUCAUUUUCUACUUAUAAUUAGUAUUUUAGCAUAUUUUUUAAUCUAUAUAACUUAUGUUAAUCGUUUAAUUAUCAGAAUAUAGAAGAUAACAUUUUAUGUUCUUUAGGAUAUAAGUAUAUAUUUAAUUAAUUUUGAUGUUCAAUACAUAUCUUUCUAAAUUAAUUAAUGUCAGGCUUUGUUACUCAUUAAAUGUUUGAAUGAUUUAUAUAAUUGAGGAUUUACUUAAUAUAAAUAUUUAGCUUGCAAUAUUUAAUAGAAAUCUCUGCUACAUAAUCACUUUAUGAUUGUAUAAACAAAAAACAAAGGGUAAAAAAAUACGUACUGCUGAAAAAUUGUCAUAUUUUCCUUUUUUUCUAUCUUUUAUGAGUAAUUUUCUUUCUUAUCUAUCAAAUGUGCGGAACAAUUGAUUUAUGAUAUAGGUUAAUCUUUUGAAGGCUAUACAUCUCUAACUUGUUUAUUUUGUCACUCUAUUCAUCUGUGUUUCCUCUUAUUUUCAAUUUUAUUCUUGCAUCACCAAUGAUUAUGAUAGUGUUUUUCGUAUUGUUUUGAUGAGAUUGAGAUGUUUGUUAGGAUUAUGAGGAUCUCACAAUAAUAAAGUUGGUGCUAAUGUAACACUAGAAAAAUGAUUGGGUUGGUUUCCUUUAAUACAUACGGUCUCAUUUUCAUUGUCUUGUAAUUAUUCUAUUUUCUUUUUUUCUUUUUCAUUUUCUUGUAAUUAUUCUUUUUUCUUUUUUUCUUUUUCAUUUUCUACUUAUAAUUAGUAUUUUAGCAUAUUUUUUAAGCUAUAUAACUUAUGUUAAUCGUUUAAUUAUCAGAAUAUAGAAGAUGACAUUUUAUGUUCUUUAGGAUAUAAGUAUAUAUUUAAUUAAUUUUGAUGUUCAAUACAUAUCUUUCUAAACUAGUUAAUGUCAAGGUUUGUUACUCAAUAAAUGUUUGAUUGAUUUAUAUAAUUGAGGAUUUACUUAAUAUAAUUAUUUAGCUUACAAUAUUUAAUAGAAAUCUCUGGUUCAUAAUCACUUUAUGAUUGUAUAAACAAAAUACAAAGGGUAAAAAAAUACGUACUGCUGAAAAAUUGUCAUAUUUUCCUUUUUUUUCUAUCUUUUAUGAGUAAUUUUCUUUCUUAUCUAUCAAAUGUACGGAACAAUUGAUUUCUGAUAUAGGUUAAUCUUUUGAAGGUUACACAUCUCUAACUUGUUUAUUUUGUCACUCUAUUCAUCUGUGUUUCCUCUUAUUUUCAAUUUUAUUCUUGCAUCACCAAUGAUUAUGAUAGGGUUUUUCGUAUUGUUUUGAUGAGAUUGAGAUGUUUGUUAGGAUUAUGAGGAUCUCACAAUAAUAAAGUUGGUGCUAAUGUAACACUAGAAAAAUGAUUGGGUUGGUUUCCUUUAAUACAUACGGUCUCAUUUUCAUUGUCUUGUAAUUAUUCUAUUUUCUUUUUUUCUUUUUCAUUUUCUUGUAAUUAUUCUUUUUUCUUUUUUUCUUUUUCAUUUUCUACUUAUAAUUAGUAUUUUAGCAUAUUUUUUAAGCUAUAUAACUUAUGUUAAUCGUUUAAUUAUCAGAAUAUAGAAGAUGACAUUUUAUGUUCUUUAGGAUAUAAGUAUAUAUUUAAUUAAUUUUGAUGUUCAAUACAUAUCUUUCUAAACUAGUUAAUGUCAAGGUUUGUUACUCAAUAAAUGUUUGAUUGAUUUAUAUAAUUGAGGAUUUACUUAAUAUAAUUAUUUAGCUUACAAUAUUUAAUAGAAAUCUCUGGUUCAUAAUCACUUUAUGAUUGUAUAAACAAAAUACAAAGGGUAAAAAAAUACGUACUGCUGAAAAAUUGUCAUAUUUUCCUUUUUUUUCUAUCUUUUAUGAGUAAUUUUCUUUCUUAUCUAUCAAAUGUACGGAACAAUUGAUUUCUGAUAUAGGUUAAUCUUUUGAAGGUUACACAUCUCUAACUUGUUUAUUUUGUCACUCUAUUCAUCUGUGUUUCCUCUUAUUUUCAAUUUUAUUCUUGCAUCACCAAUGAUUAUGAUAGGGUUUUUCGUAUUGUUUUGAUGAGAUUGAGAUGUUUGUUAGGAUUAUGAGGAUCUCACAAUAAUAAAGUUGGUGCUAAUGUAACACUAGAAAAAUGAUUGGGUUGGUUUCCUUUAAUACAUACGGUCUCAUUUUCAUUGUCUUGUAAUUAUUCUAUUUUCUUUUUUUCUUUUUCAUUUUCUUGUAAUUAUUCUUUUUUCUUUUUUUCUUUUUCAUUUUCUACUUAUAAUUAGUAUUUUAGCAUAUUUUUUAAUCUAUAUAACUUAUGUUAAUCGUUUAAUUAUCAGAAUAUAGAAGAUGACAUUUUAUGUUCUUUAGGAUAUAAGUAUAUAUUUAAUUAAUUUUGAUGUUCAAUACAUAUCUUUCUAAACUAGUUAAUGUCAAGGUUUGUUACUCAAUAAAUGUUUGAUUGAUUUAUAUAAUUGAGGAUUUACUUAAUAUAAUUAUUUAGCUUACAAUAUUUAAUAGAAAUCUCUGGUUCAUAAUCACUUUAUGAUUGUAUAAACAAAAUACAAAGGGUAAAAAAAUACGUACUGCUGAAAAAUUGUCAUAUUUUCCUUUUUUUUCUAUCUUUUAUGAGUAAUUUUCUUUCUUAUCUAUCAAAUGUGCGGAACAAUUGAUUUCUGAUAUAGGUUAAUCUUUUGAAGGUUACACAUCUCUAACUUGUUUAUUUUGUUACUCUAUUCAUCUGUGUUUCCUCUUAUUUUUAAUUUUAUUCUUGCAUCACCAAUGAUUAUGAUAGGGUUUUUCGUAUUGUUUUGAUGAGAUUGAGAUGUUUUUUAGGAUUAUGAGGAUCUCACAAUAAGAAAGGUGGUACUAAUGUAACACUACAAAAAUGAUUGGGUUUGUUUCCUUUAAUACAUACGGUCUCAUUUUCAUUGUCUUGUAAUUAUUCUUUUUUCUAUUUUUCUUUUUCAUUUUCUUGUAAUCAUUCUGUUUUCUUUUUUUCUUUUUCAUUUUCUAAUUAUAAUAAUUAGUAUUUUUGCAUAUUUUUUAAUCUAUAUAACUUAUGUUAAUCGUUUAAUUAUUAGAAUAUAGAAGAUGACAUUUUGUUCUUUAGGAUAUAAGUAUAUAAUUAAUUAAUUUUGAUGUUCAAUACAUAUCUUUCUAAACUAAUUAAUGUCAAGGUUUGUUACUCAUUACAUGUUUGAUUAUUUAUAUAAUUGAGGAUUUACUUAAUAUAAAUAUUUAGCUUACAAUAUUUAAUAGAUAUCUCUGGUUCAUAAUCAUAUUAUGAUUGUAUAAACAAAAAUACGUACUGCUGAAAAAUUGUCAUGUUUUCCUUUUUUUUUUUCUAUCUUUUAUGAGUAAUUUUCUUUCUUAUCUAUCAAAUGUGCGGAACAAUUGAUUUCUGAUAUAGGUUAAUCUUUUGAAGGUUACACAUCUCUAACUUGUUUAUUUUGUCACUCUAUUCAUCUGUGUUUCCUCUUAUUUUCAAUUUUAUUCUUGCAUCACCAAUGAUUAUGAUAGGGUUUUUCGUAUUGUUUUGAUGAGAUUGAGAUGUUUGUUAGGAUUAUGAGGAUCUCACAAUAAUAAAGGUGGUGCUAAUGUAACACUAGAAAAAUGAUUGGGUUGGUUUCCUUUAAUACAUACGGUCUCAUUUUCAUUGUCUUGUAAUUAUUCUAUUUUCUUUUUUUCUUUUUCAUUUUCUUGUAAUUAUUCUUUUUUCUUUUUUUCUUUUUCAUUUUCUACUUAUAAUUAGUAUUUUAGCAUAUUUUUUAAUCUAUAUAACUUAUGUUAAUCGUUUAAUUAUCAGAAUAUAGAAGAUGACAUUUUAUGUUCUUUAGGAUAUAAGUAUAUAUUUAAUUAAUUUUGAUGUUCAAUACAUAUCUUUCUUUCUCUACCAUGAGUAUAAUUUUAUAAUGCAACUUCUAUCUUAUAUUUCUUUUAUUGGAGUAUAAAUAUAGCAUGCCAGAUUAAAACAUAAUUUUGAAAUUAUCGAUGAUAUAUUUCAUUUUUAUCAUUUUAAAAUUAUAAUAUAUUACUUAUAUUUAUCAUUUUAAAAAAAUACGUACUCCUGAAAAAUUGUCAGAUUUUCCUUUUUUCUAUCUUUUAUGAGUAAUUUUCUUUCCUAUCUAUCAAAUGUACGGAACAAUUAACUUCUGAUAUAGGUUAAACUUUUGAAGGUUACACAUCUCUAAUUUGUUUAUUUUGUUACUCUAUUCAUUUGUGUUUCCUCUUAUUUUCAAUUUUAUUCUUGCAUCACCAAUGAUUAUGAUAGGGUUUUUCGUUUUGUUUUGAUGAGAUUGAGAUGUUUGUUAGGAUUAUGAGGAUCUCACAAUAAUAAAGGUGGUGCUAAUGUAACACUAGAAAAAUGAUUAGGUUGGUUUCUUUUAAUACAUACGGUCUAAUUUUCAUUGUCUUGUAAUUAUUCUUUUUUCUUUUUUUCUUUUUCUUUUUCUUGUAAUUAUUCUGUUUUCUUUUUUUCUUUUUCAUUUUCUACUUAUAAUUAGUAUUUUAGCAUUUUUUUAAUAUGUAAGUUAUGUUAAUUGUUUAAUUAUCAGAAUAUAGAAGAUGCCAUUUUAUGUUCUUUAGGAUAUAAAUAUAUAUUUAAUUAAUUUUGAUGUUUCAAUACAUAUCUUUCUUUCUCUACCAUGAGUAUAAUUUUAUAAUGCAACUUCUAUCUUAUAUUUCUUUUAUUGGAGUAUAAAUAUAGCAUGCCAGAUUAAAACAUAAUUUCAAAAUUAUCGAUGAUAUAUUUCAUUUUUAUCAUUUUAAAAUUAUAAUAUAUUACUUAUAUUUAUCAUUUUCAAAAAAUACGUACUGCUGAAAAAUUGUCAUAUUUUCCUUUUUUUUCUAUCUUUUAUGAGUAAUUUUCUUUCUUAUCUAUAAAAUGUACAGAUCAAGUGAUUUUUGAUAUAGGUUGAUCU